RNAcentral lists this non-coding RNA (133 nucleotides) under Solanum lycopersicum (tomato). RNAcentral describes it as "Bacterial small subunit ribosomal RNA". It matches the Rfam family "Bacterial small subunit ribosomal RNA", at positions 1388 to 1520 of the family's 1533-position model. The record is from Rfam by way of RNAcentral. RNAcentral also lists the same sequence under 1 other name. Lineage: Eukaryota; Viridiplantae; Streptophyta; Magnoliopsida; Solanales; Solanaceae.
CACCGCCUGUAACACUAUGGGAGUUUUUCAUAGCCAAAGUUGUUACCUUAACAGCAAGGAGAGGGAUGCCGAAUGCAGGGCUAGUGACUAGAGUGAAGUCCUAACAAGGUAUCCAUACUAGAAGGUGCUGCUA